GACAACCAAAUUAAUUUACUUUAUGUUAUAUUAGAGAGAAUCAUUAACAUAAAGUCAUGUCAGGGUACAUCUUUUUGCAUGUUACCUUUUUUUUUCUCUCUCCUUUGUAUCAAUCAAUUUUUUAUCUUUAUUCUAUCUCCUUUGUGUCAGUCACUCACAGUCUCACGUAAAGACUAAGCAUUUUUUCUCUAAUAUAUGUGUUUUUUUUGUACAAUAAUUUUAGAGAGCCACUUAUAUCUUUUGUAUUAAUUUAACUAGUUGGUACGUAUUACAGUACGACAGGUAAAUGUACCCUAGACGAUGGUACAUAAAUAUUUUUUAGUACAAAUUCUACGAAAUGUAUCGUCGUCUAUGAUAAUAAAAAUAGCCAAUUUCAAGUACGCCAAUUUUUGUUUUUUUUGUACAUAAAAUUUUAAGUACCUUAUCAAAUUUAAACGUGACGGAAUUACUCAAUUUCAAGUACGUCAUCAAUUUUAUGUACCUCAUCAAUUUAAGUACCCUAUAUACAAUAUUCAUUAAUAAGUACGAGAACAAUCAAAAGUACUAAGUAUUUUCUCAACAAUAGUACCUCAUUAAUUUUUAGUACAUAGCAAAUACAACAAGGUACAUGUCAAGUACAUUAGAAUAGUUACAAUAUAUCAUCAAUUUUAUAUCCUCAACAAUUUUAAGUACCUUCUUAAUUUGAUGUACAUCGAGGUAAAUGUCAAGUACAUGACAAUAACUUAUCAAUUUUUGAUAUGAAAUCCCUGUCUAAAACAUGAAGAAACAAUUACAACACACGAUAAGUACCUCCUCAAUCACACUGACGCUAACCCAAUGGUACAACAUAACCCAGUGGUACAUCACAGAAAAAGAAGAAAUACACCUUCGGACUCAAAACAAGAUCACGAUAGGAAGAAAAAAAAAGUCAAUAUGUCCAGGAAAGGAAAGUUUGAUCUACUCUACCUGCAAAUCAAUAGAAAACAGAAGGUACAAAUCAAUAGAAAAUCAAAGUACGUGAAAUCAAGCCACAAAUCAAUAGAAAUCUAGCCACGGAAGCUACAAAUCAAAGUACCUCUAACCAAUCGGUGACAGGACCCUGUUCCGUGGGAGGCAGCGGGUGCUAGGAGCGUGCAGCGACGGCGGCCGAGGCCAGGCCUAGGGACGAGGCGCAUGGCGGCGGGGAGAGGAUGCGCGGCGGCUUGGACGGCGGGACGAGGCGUACGGUGGCGGGGAUGGGGGCGCGCGGCGGUUUGAACGGGGGGCAGCGGCGCGGUAGGCGCGGGGCCGCGGGGACGGGCGCGCGGCAGCGUCGCCGCGCGGCGACGGGACGAGGCGCGCGACGACGGGUAGGGGGGGGCCUGGCGGCUUGGAUAGCGAGCAGCGGCGCUGCGGGGUCGGCCCACGACAGAGAGGAGAGAGAUGAGAGAGAGGACUGCGAGAGAGGAGAGAGAUGGGAGAGAUGUGCCAGAAGAUUAGGCGGAGAUUAUUCUGAUCGGUAGAGAAAUUAAAAAAUAAAAAUAGACAGGUGUGUGGCUAGGACCGUAGGUGUAAAUCGCGUUAUGGUUAUGGAGAGGUUUGGCGCCAUAAUACUAGUACUCCUAGCUAACUGGCUGCAGCUUGAAACUAGCCAUGUUUUCGGAUCCAGACCGUUUCAAAUGUGCAGUCAGUCGAAAUGUUUGCUUGCUCUCAUGCCUGGAUACCAGGGAGGGAGGCAGGGGGAGCAUGUGAGCCGGGACAGUGAAAAUCAACGAGCCAGGCGUGCACCUGUCAACCGAUCCAUGCUUCAUCAGACGAAAGGGGGCUUAACCCGGAACGAUGAUUAACUCUGGGACUAAGGACAAUGCACAUGG
Molecule: long non-coding RNA, 1832 nt
Filed under: Brachypodium distachyon (stiff brome)
Lineage: Eukaryota; Viridiplantae; Streptophyta; Magnoliopsida; Poales; Poaceae
Description: long non-coding RNA (BDIS_LNC000297)
Source: RNAcentral